This 91-nucleotide transfer RNA is filed under the name Salibacteraceae bacterium. RNAcentral's name for it is "tRNA-Ser". It matches the Rfam family "tRNA". From Rfam's summary of the family: Transfer RNA (tRNA) molecules are approximately 80 nucleotides in length. Their secondary structure includes four short double-helical elements and three loops (D, anti-codon, and T loops). Further hydrogen bonds mediate the characteristic L-shaped molecular structure. tRNAs have two regions of fundamental functional importance: the anti-codon, which is responsible for specific mRNA codon recognition, and the 3' end, to which the tRNAs corresponding amino acid is attached (by aminoacyl-tRNA synthetases). tRNAs cope with the degeneracy of the genetic code in two manners: having more than one tRNA (with a specific anti-codon) for a particular amino acid; and 'wobble' base-pairing, i.e. permitting non-standard base-pairing at the 3rd anti-codon position. The record is from RNAcentral. Lineage: Bacteria; Pseudomonadati; Bacteroidota; Flavobacteriia; Flavobacteriales; Salibacteraceae.
GGAGAGGUGCAGGAGUGGCUGAACUGGCUCGCUUGGAAAGCGUGUAAACCUCAUAAGGGUUUCGAGGGUUCGAAUCCCUCUCUCUCCGCCA